Molecule: long non-coding RNA, 630 nt
Filed under: Homo sapiens (human)
Lineage: Eukaryota; Metazoa; Chordata; Mammalia; Primates; Hominidae
Description: HSALNT0186208
Source: RNAcentral
AAAGUUUUAUUUUGACUAUGUCAUGAAAAAGAAUAUGCAACCCUGAACAUCAUCAUUUACCCUGGAGAUUAAAAUAUAUUUUAAUAUAUUUGAGAUCAUAUUGAAGGUUUUAUGAAAAGUGAAGAAAUACUCUGCAUUGCAUUCAAACUGCAGCAGAAAUUUUAGUAAGCAUUGUGUAUUUUCCAGGUUGGAACUGAUCCAGGAAUCUAAACCUAAUAUUGAGGCUAACUGUAGGGUUUGUAAAAAGGAGGCAUCCUCAGGGGUUCACACUGGUGGUUCUGAGGAAGCUUCCUGUGAAGACAGAUUGUGCCCUCAAGUCCACACAGGCAAAUGCUUCAUCAUUAACUCACUUUGGAAAAAUAAAUAAACUAUUUUAACAGUGAGAUUUAAAAGGUACAGCUAUUGCGUAUAUUUUCUCCCAUAUAUCAUCAAGAAAAUUGUGGAAAAAAAAUUUAGUAAGUUACCUAAAUUCUCACUUUUUCAAAAGCAUCUUGACAGUCAAUGCUAUUUCAAACACUUCACUGACUUUAUGUGAUACAAAGGACUGACAAAUUUAACUAUUAAACAUAAAAGCUUUCGUACCUCAUAAAACAAUUUAAAAGAAGUGAAAAGUAAAAUUAUAGACUGUGA